Molecule: ribosomal RNA, 588 nt
Filed under: Hyaloscyphaceae sp. I12F-02268
Lineage: Eukaryota; Fungi; Ascomycota; Leotiomycetes; Helotiales; Hyaloscyphaceae
Description: eukaryotic LSU rRNA
Rfam family: Eukaryotic large subunit ribosomal RNA
Source: RNAcentral
UGCAUAUCCCAAAAGCGGAGGAAAAGAAACCAACAGGGAUUGCCUCAGUAACGGCGAGUGAAGCGGCAACAGCUCAAAUUUGAAAUCUGGCUCUUUUAGGGUCCGAGUUGUAAUUUGUAGAAGAUGCUUCGGGUGUGGCUCCGGUCUAAGUUCCUUGGAACAGGACGUCAUAGAGGGUGAGAAUCCCGUACGUGACCGGUGGCCUUCGCCCAUGUGAAGCUCUUUCGACGAGUCGAGUUGUUUGGGAAUGCAGCUCAAAAUGGGUGGUAUAUUUCAUCUAAAGCUAAAUAUUGGCCAGAGACCGAUAGCGCACAAGUAGAGUGAUCGAAAGAUGAAAAGCACUUUGGAAAGAGAGUUAAACAGUACGUGAAAUUGUUGAAAGGGAAGCGCUUGCAAUCAGACUUGCACGCCGUCGAUCAUCCGAGGUUUUCCCCGGUGCACUCGGCGGUGUUCAGGCCAGCAUCGGUCUGGGUGGUUGGAUAAAGGCCCCAGGAAUGUGGCUCCCUUCGGGGAGUGUUAUAGCCUGGGGUGCAAUGCAGCCUAUCCGGACUGAGGACCGCGCUCGGCUAGGAUGCUGCGUAAACUGCC